GAUCUACCCAUGGCCAGGGUGAAGCGUCGGUAAGACGUCGUGGAGGCCCGAACCCACCAGGGUUGAAAACCUGGGGGAUGAGCUGUGGGUAGGGGUGAAAGGCCAAUCAAACUCCGUGAUAGCUGGUUCUCCCCGAAAUGCAUUUAGGUGCAGCGUCGCAUGUUUCACCGCGGGGGUAGAGCACUGGAUGGUCUAGGGGGCCUACAAGCUUACCGAAAUCAACCAAACUCCGAAUACCGUGGUGUGAGAGUGCGGCAGUGAGACUGCGGGCGAUAAGGUUCGUAGUCGAGAGGGAAACAGCCCAGAACACCAGCUAAGGCCCCUAAGUGUGCGCUAAGUGGGAAAGGAUGUGGGGUCGCUCAGACAACCAGGAGGUUGGCUUAGAAGCAGCCACCCUUGAAAGAGUGCGUAAUAGCUCACUGGUCAAGUGGUCCUGCGCCGACAAUGUAGCGGGGCUGAAGCGCACCGCCGAAGCUGUGUCAUUCGCACAAUACACCGUCUCAUCGGCUUGACCGGUGGGGCCAGUGGUGUGGAUGGGUAGGGGAGCGUCGUGCAGCCGGAGAAGCUGUGGUGGAAACCAAUGGUGGAGGCUGCGCGAGUGAGAAUGCAGGCAUGAGUAGCGAUAGGCGAGUGAGAAUCUCGUCCGCCGAAUGACCAAGGGUUCCUGGGCCAGGCUGUUCCGCCCAGGGUAAGUCGGGACCUAAGGCGAGGCCGACAGGCGUAGUCGAUGGACAACGGGUUGAUAUUCCCGUACCCGUGUGGACGCGUCCCUGGUGAGGCCGGUGACACUAACCGCCCGAAGCCCCGACGCUCUUCGGAGUGGAGGGGUGGAGCGCGGGAUCUGAUCCGGUAGUAGUCAAGUGAUGGGGUGACGCAGGAGGGUAGCUCCGCCAGCUGUUGGUGUCUGGUGUAAGCGUGUGGCCCGAGCGAUAGGCAAAUCCGUCGCUCACAGAGGGUGAGGCGUGAUGCGUAGCCGAUUGAGGCGAAGUAGAGUGAUCCCAUGCUGCCGAGAAAAGCCUCUAGCGAGUGUCCGUGCGGCCCGUACCCCAAACCGACACAGGUGGUCAGGUAGAGAAUACCGAGGCGUUCGGGUGAACUGUGGUCAAGGAACUCGGCAAAAUGCCCCCGUAACUUCGGGAGAAGGGGGGCCACAGGGUUUGAAGCCCUUCGCGGGCUAGGACCAGGUGGCCGCAGAGACCAGCGAGAAGCGACUGUUUACUAAAAACACAGGUCCGUGCGAAGUCGCAAGACGAUGUAUACGGACUGACGCCUGCCCGGUGCUGGAACGUUAAGAGGACCGGUUAGCCCUUUGGGGCGAAGCUGAGAAUUUAAGCGCCAGUAAACGGCGGUGGUAACUAUAACCAUCCUAAGGUAGCGAAAUUCCUUGUCGGGUAAGUUCCGACCUGCACGAAUGGCGUAACGACUUCUCGACUGUCUCGACCACAGGCCCGGUGAAAUUGCAGUACGAGUAAAGAUGCUCGUUACGCGCGGCAGGACGGAAAGACCCCGGGACCUUUACUAUAGCUUGGUAUUGGUGCUUGGUUCGGUUUGUGUAGGAUAGGUGGGAGACUGUGAAGCGCUCACGCCAGUGGGUGUGGAGUCGUUGUUGAAAUACCACUCUGAUCGUACUGAGUGUCUAACUUCGGACCGUGAUCCGGUUCAGGGACAGUGCCUGGUGGGUAGUUUAACUGGGGCGGUUGCCUCCCAAAGGGUAACGGAGGCGCCCAAAGGUUCCCUCAGCCUGGUUGGCAAUCAGGUGUUGAGUGCAAGUGCACAAGGGGGCUUGACUGUGAGACUGACAGGUCGAGCAGGGACGAAAGUCGGGACUAGUGAUCCGGCACUGGCUGG
Molecule: ribosomal RNA, 1848 nt
Filed under: Actinokineospora inagensis DSM 44258
Lineage: Bacteria; Bacillati; Actinomycetota; Actinomycetes; Pseudonocardiales; Pseudonocardiaceae
Description: bacterial LSU rRNA
Rfam family: Bacterial large subunit ribosomal RNA
Source: RNAcentral